Molecule: ribosomal RNA, 253 nt
Filed under: uncultured bacterium
Lineage: Bacteria
Description: partial 16S ribosomal RNA
Rfam family: Bacterial small subunit ribosomal RNA
Source: RNAcentral
UACGAAGGGGGCUAGCGUUGUUCGGAAUCACUGGGCGUAAAGCGCACGCAGGCGGAUUGAUAAGUCAGGGGUGAAAUCCCGGAGCUCAACUUCGGAAUUGCCUUUGAUACUGUCUGUCUUGAGUCCGGGAGAGGUGAGUGGAAUUCCUAGUGUAGAGGUGAAAUUCGUAGAUAUUAGGAAGAACACCAGUGGCGAAGGCGGCUCACUGGCCCGGUACUGACGCUCAUGUGCGAAAGCGUGGGGAGCGAACAGG